Molecule: ribosomal RNA, 460 nt
Filed under: uncultured bacterium
Lineage: Bacteria
Description: partial 16S ribosomal RNA
Rfam family: Bacterial small subunit ribosomal RNA
Source: RNAcentral
CCUACGGGCGGCAGCAGUGAGGAAUAUUGGUCAAUGGGCGCAAGCCUGAACCAGCCAAGUCGCGUGAGGGAUGACGGUCCUAUGGAUUGUAAACCUCUUUUGUCGGGGAGCAAGGCCCGCCACGUGUGGAGGGAAGGAGAGUACCAGAAGAAAAAGCAUCGGCUAACUCCGUGACAGCAGCCGCGGUAAUACGGAGGAUGCGAGCGUUAUCCGGAUUUAUUGGGUUUAAAGGGUGCGUAGGCGGAAUGCCAAGUCAGCGGUAAAAUCGCGGGGCUCAACCUCGCUCCGCCGUUGAAACUGGCGUUCUUGAGUGGGCGAGAAGUAUGCGGAAUGCGUGGUGUAGCGGUUAAAUGCAUAGAUAUCACGCAGAACUCCGAUUGCGAAGGCAGCAUACCGGCGCCCAACUGACGCUGAAGCACGAAAGCGUGGGUAUCGAACAGGAUUAGAUACCCUUGUAGUC